CCUACGGGAGGCAGCAGUGAGGAAUAUUGGUCAAUGGGCGUAAGCCUGAACCAGCCAAGUCGCGUGAGGGAUGAAGGUUCUAUGGAUCGUAAACCUCUGUUAUAAGGGCAUAAAGUGUGGGACGUGUCCUAUUUUGUAUGUACCUUAUGAAUAAGGAUCGGCUAACCCCGUGCCAGCAGCCGCGGUAAUACGGAGGAUCCGAGCGUUAUCCGGAUUUAUUGGGUUUAAAGGGUGCGUAGGCGGCCUUUGAAGUAAGCGGUGAAAGUCUGUGGCUCAACCAUAGAAUUGCCGUUGAAACUGGGGGGCUUGAGUAUGUUUGAGGCAGGCGGAAUGCGUGGUGUAGCGGUGAAAUGCUUAGAUAUCACGCAGAACCCCGAUUGCGAAGGCAGCCUGCCAAGCCAUGACUGACGCUGAUGCACGAAAGCGUGGGGAUCAAACAGGAUUAGAUACCCGAGUAAGUC
Molecule: ribosomal RNA, 461 nt
Filed under: uncultured bacterium
Lineage: Bacteria
Description: partial 16S ribosomal RNA
Rfam family: Bacterial small subunit ribosomal RNA
Source: RNAcentral